ACAGAGAACUUAACCUUAGGCAACCUGCCUCACUUCCCCUGGCCUCCGUUUCUUAUCUCCUGAAAUCGUGGUGUUAUCAAACCUCCUGAGGAUCAUCCUAGCCCUGUGUUGGACGCAUGUUGUAGACCAGGAGGAAACUUUCAAAGGUGUUUCUGCAACAUAGCUCCAGCUGGAGGUGCUGCUUAAACUCUUCAAGGUCAAGAUGAAUCAAACUCAGAGGAGGCUUUACCCCUGGACCAUGCAAGCUCCUGAGGUCUGGGAGGAACUGCUGACAGUGAAAGUGGAGAUGGAAAGUCGCCUCCCAAUGCAGGAAUCCCGACUGAGAUGGAGUAAUCCCCUCAGGGAUUUUUAACCGAGGGAAAUUUAUCUGAAAGCACUUUCGACAGGAGAUCCCUGGGCCCUGCGAGGCCCUCACCUGGCUCUGGGAGCUGUGUCAACACUGGCUGCGCCCUGAGACCCACAGCAAGGAGCAGAUCCUGGAGCUGCUGGUGCAGGAACUGUUUCUGAUCAUCCUCCCGAGAAGCUCCAGGCCUGGGUGCAGGAGCAGCACCUCGAGAGUGGGGACAAAGUGGUGGCUACCAUGCUGGUGGACCUGGAGAGGGAGCUAGAUGAAUCACAGCAUGAGGUGGUAGCUACACACAGGGGCAAGAAGUCCUCUCCAGAGGGACAGUGCCUCUGGGACAGCAGACAUCACUGAGGCUUCAGUCCCAGCCCAGAGGACCCCAGCCCACAUGGGAUGCUGCUCAGGAGGCCCAUCCCUGGAGAGACAGCCAUCUUUUCCUUUAUUCUGCCUUCCAAGCUGUAUCUAGAACCUACUGGGGACUCCUUUCUUCAGGACGCACAUCUGAGCAUGUCCUUGCUCCCAUCUGCCCAUUGCUCGCCGCCUCCCUCCAUCCAGUCAUCCAUUAAGCAUCGAAUAUGGCUGCUGGAGAGCACCCAAGGGCUCUCUUACAGGACUGUCACUACAGGUAUGCAUCUUAUACUCAGGAAGAGCCAGUUCUGUAAAGCAACACAGUGUCUGAGAUUACAAGGAUUAAUACACUUUCCAGCUCACAUUUUUCCUUAA
RNAcentral lists this long non-coding RNA (1066 nucleotides) under Canis lupus familiaris (dog). RNAcentral's name for it is "lncRNA (ENSCAFG00845016612.1)". Lineage: Eukaryota; Metazoa; Chordata; Mammalia; Carnivora; Canidae. The record is from RNAcentral.